This 349-nucleotide long non-coding RNA is filed under the name Ananas comosus (pineapple). Its description in RNAcentral is "long non-coding RNA (ACOM_LNC028344)". The record is from RNAcentral. Lineage: Eukaryota; Viridiplantae; Streptophyta; Magnoliopsida; Poales; Bromeliaceae.
UGGCGUGGCAACGCGAGGCGAGGGCGUAACUCAGUAGAUAGCGCCCCAUCACUGAGACCGAGGUAGCAGUACCCUGAGACAGUCUAGCUUAGGGGUCUAGAAGACAAGAAAAGAAAAUGUAUCAAACUUGUACUCUGAUGUAAUAGUGAGAUUGUAAUUUGGAAGUAAAAAUAUAAACAGAAACUGUGAUGUAAAAGUGGUUGUAAAAUGAAUGCUUGUAAUAGCAAAUAGAUUAUGUAUUUGAUACUUCCUUAUGCAAUCUGGAUUGAUAUCCGUUCCUAGUUGGAACAUUCGUUGAUUGUUUGGAUUGCGACGCCUUGGACGUACUGGGGAGACUCUGUCCGCGUAC